Molecule: ribosomal RNA, 482 nt
Filed under: uncultured bacterium
Lineage: Bacteria
Description: partial 16S ribosomal RNA
Rfam family: Bacterial small subunit ribosomal RNA
Source: RNAcentral
AUUGAACGCUGGCGGCAUGCCUUACACAUGCAAGUCGAACGGUAACGGGCCUUCGGGUGCCGACGAGUGGCGAACGGGUGAGUAAUACAUCGGAACGUGCCCGAUCGUGGGGGAUAACGAGGCGAAAGCUUUGCUAAUACCGCAUACGAUCUACGGAUGAAAGCAGGGGACCGCAAGGCCUUGCGCGGACGGAGCGGCCGAUGGCAGAUUAGGUAGUUGGUGGGAUAAAAGCUUACCAAGCCGACGAUCUGUAGCUGGUCUGAGAGGAUGAUCAGCCACACUGGGACUGAGACACGGCCCAGACUCCUACGGGAGGCGGCAGUGGGGAAUUUUGGACAAUGGGCGCAAGCCUGAUCCAGCCAUGCCGCGUGCAGGAUGAAGGCCUUCGGGUUGUAAACUGCUUUUGUACGGAACGAAAAGCCUUCAUUUAAUACAGGAGGGUCAUGACGGUACCGUAAGAAUAAGCACCGGCUAACUACGUG